This 507-nucleotide ribosomal RNA is filed under the name uncultured bacterium. RNAcentral describes it as "bacterial SSU rRNA". It matches the Rfam family "Bacterial small subunit ribosomal RNA", at positions 501 to 1008 of the family's 1533-position model. The record is from RNAcentral.
CUACGUGCCAGCAGCCGCGGUAAUACGUAUGUCGCAAGCGUUAUCCGGAAUUAUUGGGCAUAAAGGGCAUCUAGGCGGCCAGAUAAGUCUGGGGUGAAAACUUGCGGCUCAACCGCAAGCCUGCCCUGGAAACUAUGUGGCUAGAGUACUGGAGAGGUGGACGGAACUGCACGAGUAGAGGUGAAAUUCGUAGAUAUGUGCAGGAAUGCCGAUGAUGAAGAUAGUUCACUGGACGGUAACUGACGCUGAAGUGCGAAAGCUAGGGGAGCAAACAGGAUUAGAUACCCUGGUAGUCCUAGCUGUAAACGAUGAUUACUGGGUGUGGGCAUGAAGAGUGUCCGUGCCGAAGCUAAUGCGAUAAGUAAUCCGCCUGGGGAGUACGGCCGCAAGGCUGAAACUCAAAGGAAUUGACGGGGGCCCGCACAAGCGGAGGAACAUGUGGUUUAAUUCGAUGAUACGCGAGGAACCUUACCCGGGCUUGAAUUGCAGAGGAAGGAUUUAGAGAUA